GUGUCUUUUAGGGAUGAUGAAAGUAUUCUAAAAUUAGAUUCUGGUAAUGAUUGUAUAACUUUGCAAAUAAUACUAAAAACCAUUGAAUUAGAUACUUUAUGCAGGUGAACUUUUUGGUAUGUAAAUUACCAAAAAAUAAGAGAGCAGGCUGGGGAUAUAGCCUCAGUUGGUAGAGUUGCCUCACAUGUUCAAGACCUUGGGUUCAAUCCCUGCAAUCACACACACACACAAAAUAAAGAGUAGGAGUGAAAAUAGGCAAGAGUGAGAAAGAAAAGCAUAAAAACAGUAAGAAAAAUAAGUAGAAAGUGGAAGACUUGGGCUGUAACCAAAUUUUAAGAGGUGUGG
This 345-nucleotide long non-coding RNA is filed under the name Marmota monax (woodchuck). Lineage: Eukaryota; Metazoa; Chordata; Mammalia; Rodentia; Sciuridae. The record is from RNAcentral.